ACCGGGGGAAGAAUCACACCUGUUUGCCCUACUAACGGUGAGUGAAGCGGCAACUGCUCAAAUUUGAAAUCUGGCCCUUUUAGGGUCCGAGUUGUAAUUAGCAGAGGGCGCUUUGGCAUUGGCAGCGGUCCAAGUUCCUUGGAACAGGACGUCACAGAGGGUGAGAAUCCCGUACGUGGUCGCUAGCCUUUGCUGUGUAAAGCCCCUUCGACGAGUCGAGUUGUUUGGGAAUGCAGCUCUAAAUGGGAGGUAAAUUUCUUCUAAAGCUAAAUAUUGGCCAGAGACCGAUAGCGCACAAGUAGAGUGAUCGAAAGAUGAAAAGCACUUUGGAAAGAGAGUCAAAUAGCACGUGAAAUUGUUGAAAGGGAAGCGCUUGCAGCCAGACUUGCCUGUAGUUGCUUAUCUGGGCUUUUGCCUAGUGCACUCUUCUGCGGGCAGGCCAGCAUCAGUUUGGGCGGUUGGAUAAAGGUCUCUGUCAUGUACCUCCUUUCGGGGAGGACUUAUAGGGGAGGCGACAUGCAACCAGCCUGGACUGAGGUCCGCGCAUCUGCUAGGAUGCUGGCGUAAUGGCUGUAAGCGGCCCGUCUUGAAACACGGACCAAGGAGUCUAACAUCUAUGCGAGUGUUUGGGUGUCAAGCCCAGACGCGUAAUGAAAGUGAACGGAGGUAGGAACCCUUUGGGUGCACUAUCGACCGAUCCUGAUGUCUUCGGAAGGAUUUGAGUAAGAGCAUGGCUGUUGGGACCCGAAAGAUGGUGAACUAUGCUUGAAUAGGGUGAAGCCAGAGGAAACUCUGGUGGAGGCUCGCAGCGGUUCUGACGUGCAAAUCGAUCGUCAAAUUUGGGCAUAGGGGCGAAAGACUAAUCGAACUAUCUAGUAGCUGGUUCCUGCCGAAGUUUCCCUCAGGAA
Molecule: ribosomal RNA, 908 nt
Filed under: Mauginiella scaettae
Lineage: Eukaryota; Fungi; Ascomycota
Description: partial large subunit ribosomal RNA
Rfam family: Eukaryotic large subunit ribosomal RNA
Source: RNAcentral